Molecule: non-coding RNA, 31 nt
Filed under: Mus musculus (house mouse)
Lineage: Eukaryota; Metazoa; Chordata; Mammalia; Rodentia; Muridae
Source: RNAcentral
UGGGUAAGGCGAUCAUGACACUGAAUUCAGU